Molecule: transfer RNA, 83 nt
Filed under: marine eukaryotic metagenome
Rfam family: tRNA
About the family: Transfer RNA (tRNA) molecules are approximately 80 nucleotides in length. Their secondary structure includes four short double-helical elements and three loops (D, anti-codon, and T loops).
Source: RNAcentral
GAGAGGUGGCAGAGUGGUCGAAUGCGGCGGUCUUGAAAACCGUUGUACCGCAAGGUACCGGGGGUUCGAAUCCCUCCCUCUCC